This 225-nucleotide ribosomal RNA is filed under the name uncultured bacterium. RNAcentral's name for it is "partial 16S ribosomal RNA". It matches the Rfam family "Bacterial small subunit ribosomal RNA", at positions 355 to 573 of the family's 1533-position model. The record is from RNAcentral.
UAGGGAAUCUUCCACAAUGGACGCAAGUCUGAUGGAGCAACGCCGCGUGAGUGAAGAAGGUUUUCGGAUCGUAAAGCUCUGUUGUGGUGAAGAAGGAUAGAGGCAGUAACUGGNCUUUAUUUGACGGUAAUCAACCAGAAAGUCACGGCUAACUACGUACCAGCAGCCGCGGUAAUACGUAGGUGGCAAGCGUUGUCCGGAUUUAUUGGGCGUAAAGCGAGCGCA